UUUCUCGAUGGUAGUGUAUUGGACUACCAUGGCAGUCACAGGUAACGGAGAAUUAGGGUUCGGUUCCGGAGAGGCAGCCUGAGAAACGGCUACCACAUCUACGGAUAGGCAGCAGGCGCGUAAAUUACCCAAUACUGAUUCAGUGAGGUAGUGACAAGAAAUAACAACUCGGGGAUCUAAGUAUCUUACGAGAUUGCAAUGAGAACAAUCUAAAUCCCUUAACGAGGAACAAUUGGAGGGCAAGUCUGGUGCCAGCAGCCGCGGUAAUUCCAGCUCCAAUAGCGUAUAUUAAAGUUGUUGCAGUUAAAAAGCUCGUAGUUGAACUUCUGGAGGAGGGUAAUCUGUCGCUUCGUGCACGGUUAUGCUCCUUCAUCCGUCUGCAAAGUCUUUCUCGGCCCUUAAGUGGUUCGGAUUGAGGAGUAGACAAUUUACUUUGAAAAAAUUAGAGUGUUUCAGGCAGGCAAUCGCCAGAAUACAUUAGCAUGGAAUAAUGGAAUAGGACUAUAGUUCAUUUUGUUGGUUAUUGGAUUAUGGUAAUGAUUAAUAGGGACUAGUUGGGGGCAUUAGUAUUUAAUUGUCAGAGGUGGAAUUCUUGGAUUUAUUAAAGACUAACUUAUGCGAAAGCAUUUGCCDAAGGAUGUUUUCAUUAAUCAAGAACGAAAGUUAGGGGAUCAAAGACGAAUCAGAUACCCGUC
This 695-nucleotide ribosomal RNA is filed under the name uncultured ciliate. RNAcentral's name for it is "bacterial SSU rRNA". It matches the Rfam family "Eukaryotic small subunit ribosomal RNA", at positions 321 to 1030 of the family's 1831-position model. Lineage: Eukaryota; Ciliophora. The record is from RNAcentral.